Saccostrea cuccullata (small rock oyster) is the source of this 353-nucleotide long non-coding RNA. RefSeq lists it as uncharacterized. The transcript is spliced from 3 exons. NCBI's taxonomy places the organism in Eukaryota, Metazoa, Mollusca, Bivalvia, Ostreida, Ostreidae. The record is from RefSeq and is a predicted model, not a curated record.
GCGGAUUCCAGCGUGACACACAGAUGCUUUGAAGUAUAGCUCUUAUGCUAUGAUUUGAUGAUGGAGCUCAACAAUUCUAAAGGACACUCGACAGAAAUGCAAGAUGUUAUCCUCAAAUGGUUGACAUUUCUAUUAUGUAGGAAAGCAGAGAAGAGGAAGAUACUGCUAUGUUAUCACUCCCGUGACGAGGGGAAUAUCAAAAGGUUCCUGAAGAGCUUACAUAGCAUCAAAGCUGAUGUCACUUGCAGAAAUGAGAGGACGGAGAAAGACGAUGAAUAUAACAAUUUUAGCAAUGGGAUCGUUCUCAUGUGUUUGUCAAAAGAGUACGCAACAAGCCAGGAACAAGAACAAGG